This 109-nucleotide non-coding RNA is filed under the name Pontibacter akesuensis. RNAcentral's name for it is "SAM-I sequence". It matches the Rfam family "SAM riboswitch aptamer (S box leader)". Rfam says of the family: The SAM riboswitch is found upstream of a number of genes which code for proteins involved in methionine or cysteine biosynthesis in Gram-positive bacteria. The SAM riboswitch acts at the level of transcription termination control. The record is from Rfam by way of RNAcentral. Lineage: Bacteria; Pseudomonadati; Bacteroidota; Cytophagia; Cytophagales; Hymenobacteraceae.
UUCUUAUCAAGAAAGACUGAGGGACAGGGCCCUGUGACGUCUUAGCAACCAUGUUGAAAGCUUGGUGCUACCUCCCUCCUGGAGCAACUGCUGCCAGGGAAGAUAAGAC